RNAcentral lists this ribosomal RNA (461 nucleotides) under uncultured bacterium. RNAcentral describes it as "partial 16S ribosomal RNA". It matches the Rfam family "Bacterial small subunit ribosomal RNA", at positions 338 to 795 of the family's 1533-position model. The record is from RNAcentral.
CCUACGGGAGGCAGCAGUGAGGAAUAUUGGUCAAUGGGCGGAAGCCUGAACCAGCCAAGUCGCGUGAGGGAUUAAGGCCCUGCGGGUCGUAAACCUCUUUUGCCGGGGAGCAGAGGUCCGGACGUGUCCGGGCCGGGAGAGUACCCGGAGAAAAAGCAUCGGCUAACUCCGUGCCAGCAGCCGCGGUAAUACGUAGGUGGCAAGCGUUGUCCGGAUUUACUGGGUGUAAAGGGCGUGCAGCCGGGAGGACAAGUCAGAUGUGAAAUCCCGCGGCUCAACCGCGGAACUGCAUUUGAAACUGUUUUUCUUGAGUACCGGAGAGGUCAUCGGAAUUCCUUGUGUAGCGGUGAAAUGCGUAGAUAUAAGGAAGAACACCAGUGGCGAAGGCGGAUGACUGGACGGCAACUGACGGUGAGGCGCGAAAGCGUGGGGAGCAAACAGGAUUAGAUACCCCUGUAGUC